RNAcentral lists this ribosomal RNA (492 nucleotides) under uncultured bacterium. Its description in RNAcentral is "partial 16S ribosomal RNA". It matches the Rfam family "Bacterial small subunit ribosomal RNA", at positions 29 to 507 of the family's 1533-position model. The record is from RNAcentral.
AGUGAACGCUGGCGGUAGGCCUAACACAUGCAAGUCGAACGGCAGCACAGUAAGAGCUUGCUCUUACGGGUGGCGAGUGGCGGACGGGUGAGGAAUACAUCGGAAUCUACUUUUUCGUGGGGGAUAACGUAGGGAGACUUACGCUAAUACCGCAUACGUCCUACGGGUGAAAGCAGGGGAUCUUCGGACCUUGCGCGACUGAAUGAGCCGAUGUCGGAUUAGCUAGUUGGCGGGGUAAAGGCCCACCAAGGCGACGAUCCGUAGCUGGUCUGAGAGGAUGAUCGGCCACACUGGAACUGAGACACGGUCCAGACUCCUACGGGAGGCAGCAGUGGGGAAUAUUGGACAAUGGGCGCAAGCCUGAUCCAGCCAUACCGCGUGGGUGAAGAAGGCCUUCGGGUUGUAAAGCCCUUUUGUUGGGAAAGAAAAGCAGCAGGUUAAUACCCCGCUGUUCUGACGGUACCCAAAGAAUAAGCACCGGCUAACUUCGUG